UGAGCAAUCUGCCCUUCUCAUCGGAAUAAGCGUUGGAAACGACGUCUAAUGCCGAAUACGACCUCCUUUCGCAUGAUCGGAGGUGGAAAGCUCCGGCGGUGAAGGAUGAGCUCGCGGCCUAUCAGCUAGUUGGUGUGGGUAAUGGCCCACCAAGGCGACGGACGGGUAGCCGGCCUGAGAGGGUGACCGGCCACACGUGGGACUGAGACACGGCCCAGACCUCCGUACGGGAGCAG
This 236-nucleotide ribosomal RNA is filed under the name uncultured bacterium. Its description in RNAcentral is "partial 16S ribosomal RNA". It matches the Rfam family "Bacterial small subunit ribosomal RNA", at positions 118 to 347 of the family's 1533-position model. The record is from RNAcentral.